ACAUCUUCACUUAAAUUUCCAGGAUCGUUACAGUUGGUAUCAGAGCCACGUUCCUCGGACUCAUCCCUUACACAAUAAUGCUUAGAGAAAUACCCACCGAUAAAUCGUUACUCAACUCUUCUGUGUGAAAUGCAGGUGCAACGAAAUGAAGAGAGGAAGACCCCCACUAAACCGAGCAGCCCAGGAUGAUUCGCUUCGGGAAGAUGUGGACAGAAUAUUUGAGAUGCUGGAAAGGAUCAUGGCCGCCCAGCAAGGUCGAGAGGAGAGAAGGGAGUUACCCGAACCUCCCCCACUACCACG
This 300-nucleotide long non-coding RNA is filed under the name Carica papaya (papaya). RNAcentral describes it as "long non-coding RNA (CPAP_LNC001802)". The record is from RNAcentral. Lineage: Eukaryota; Viridiplantae; Streptophyta; Magnoliopsida; Brassicales; Caricaceae.